CUUAUCCUUCUCCAGAGCUGUGCCACCCACAGUUGUGGGGGCCUUUACAUGUUCAGCUGGGGUAGACUCUGCUAUGCAGUGAUCAGGUCAUAUGUUAAUGUUAGGAAAUUCAGGGUUCCACCCUGCAUGGCUUUCUCAGAUCCCAUGCUGGUCCACUGCUUCCUUGUCAUGUUUGGUCCAUGAGGAACUUGUUCAAGGCUCCCUGCACCAAUCUGUGACAUCUACCACACAUGCAACACUCUCUGGGUUUUUGAGUUUUUGCCAGGUGACUUCAGGGUCCCGUGCACUCUGAAGAACUGAGGGUGUUGCCUUGAUCUCCUUGCUAAGGAUAUAUCCUUACUCUGAGGUGAAUCAUUUUCCCUUAAUGCUUCUUGAAAGCUAUGCUGUUUAUGUUCAUGAACUCUCUAAGUUGUCCAUUGGGGUUUGGUUUCUGAAAUUCCAAAGUAAGAAAAACAUCCAAACUACUCCUUAGCCUGCCUCCACUGAAGUAAUGAGUCACAGAGCCUGUUGUCAUCUUUAAAUGGAGGGAAGAGAAAGGACAAAUAUAUUGAGAAAAAAAAUUAACAUCUUAAAUAACUUUAGUUGAUUAAUGACUAAAAAAAUAAUAGAAAGCAUAUGAGAAUGACCUUUUCUUUCUGGAUGUGUUUUUGUUUGUUUUUUUGGUUGUUGUUUGUUUGUUUUUGGUAAGUGUAUUUUAACCCUGUGUAAUUGUAACAUGUAGAUUUUUGUAAGACCUGUGGAGGAAGCCACUUGGAGUGUUUGAGGAAGGGGGAAGGAUUGACAACCUUAUCAAAGAAGGCUAGACCAUGCCCAUCGUCUCUGCCUUACAAAUUAACAGAAAAUUAAAAGUGUUCUUCCCAGAGAGGAAGUCAGUGGCAGUGCCAGAGGAAGGGCAUGUAAUAGAAGAUUCAUGUGCCUAUUUCUAUGAAGUUUGUAUGGAAAUUUAUAAUCUACAAGAGCAGCUAAAGCUGAAGUACCACAAAAACCUUAAGGGACUGGCCAUAGCUGAAGCGUAUGUUGAAAUAUGGUGGAUACAGAAAGCAAACGGAGCCUUUAAUGGAAAUGUCAAGGACAGAUGCCCUGAUUUGCGGAUAAUGAUUUGCAAAUGAACUGCUUUUCUAAUGAGCAACUCCAGUAUAGCCAAGGUGUUUUAGCAACUGCACCUGAGAUUCAUUUAUUUAAUGAUUCUCCCAAGAAAUACUUGUGAGACUUGUUCAUCUUUAAAUAAAAUAUGUAGCUAACUUGAGAGUGAAAUAGGA
RNAcentral lists this long non-coding RNA (1259 nucleotides) under Vulpes vulpes (red fox). RNAcentral's name for it is "lncRNA (ENSVVUG00000021481.1)". The record is from RNAcentral. Lineage: Eukaryota; Metazoa; Chordata; Mammalia; Carnivora; Canidae.